CUUCCAUAUCUUGUGCCUGCACCUUUCAGUUGCAAAAAGAAAAGGAAGAAAGAAAAGAGAGAGAAUCAUGAAUUGCAUCAGAACAGAAAAAUCCAAAUGCUAUGCCCUUGGUAAAGAAAAAGAACUCUUGUACCACCACCAUCUGUCCAUAUUAGGGCAUAUACAACCUAAAGACUCUGGUUUGGAAGACAUGUACAACCUAAAACUUAGGGCACGUACAACCCAAAAAUUUGCAUCUCAUAGGUUUUUGUUUUUGGCCUUGGCUGGCCGUAUGUUAGGCGGGAGGCUUUUGCUGUUUCCCCAUGGCACGCAGCUGUGUUUGUUCAGAAAAAAAAAGCUUCACAACGCUCAAAAUGUCAAACACGUGCGGCAUAUAUGGAGGUAUUACUAACGGCAACGACUGCUAUGCAAGCAGUCUUUCUGUGCAAACGUACAAGCAAACCAUCUGAUCCAUUAGAUCGUGAUCCAACCGCAAGUCACAUUUAACACUUAAAUCCUUCCACCACCAGCUCAAUAAUCUUUAUAAAAAAAAACCCCUAACAAACCAUGGUUGUAUCUGUGGUUGGUGUGGUUGGAUCGUAAUCUAAUAAAUCAGAUGGUUUGCUUGCACGCUUGCACAGAAGCACUGUUUGCAUAGCAGUCGUUGCCAUUACUAACUUCAUAACGUCAAAUAUAUAUUACAUAGAGUAGGUACUAACAGAAAACUUCAUUUACUCCAGAAAGAACUUGAAUUCCAAGAAUAGAUUUCUAUUGGUUUUGUUUCACAUACCUCACUAGGUCUAUCAGGAUGC
Molecule: unclassified non-coding RNA, 791 nt
Filed under: Zea mays
Lineage: Eukaryota; Viridiplantae; Streptophyta; Magnoliopsida; Poales; Poaceae
Description: misc RNA Zm00001eb313990
Source: RNAcentral